Molecule: long non-coding RNA, 7545 nt
Organism: Gasterosteus aculeatus aculeatus (three-spined stickleback)
Lineage: Eukaryota; Metazoa; Chordata; Actinopteri; Perciformes; Gasterosteidae
Source: Ensembl
GUUAAAUAUACAAAGACACUGGAUACACAUUUUCUCAUCUGAUCAUAAUCAUCAUAAAGAAUAAUCAGAUUUCAUAUCUACCAGAUACGAGUUACAUAAGUACGACUCAUGAACCCAUGAAGAAACAAAUGUUAUCAUUAAAACAUAAAAUGUUAUGAUUUCAUAUUUACAAAACACAGACUUCUUAAUUCAUAGAUAAUUCUUUAUACCUCUGAAAAUGUGGGUAUUAUUAAUGCCCAAGACGGCAAUAUAAUAUGACAUAUAAUAUAAAUUUAAAAGAAAAAAAGAUCCAAACAUACUAUUUAACAUAUUAAUAUGAGAAACUACCACAAUUACAGGUAUACAUUUUACAAUGAUAUUUUACAUUAGUUAUGAAAACACAACUUCAUAAAAAAACAGAGAUUUCAUAAUUGGGACAAACAGUCACCUUCUAUACCGCUUAAUCUUAGAGGGUUACAGGAAUUAUGACAAACAAAUACUGUUAUUAUGCGAGCUAAAUCUCAUAUCUUUGUUCAAAAUUUAAAACAUACCUCAUAAUUACGUAAAGACAAAAAUAUCAGUAAUAGAUUUGAACACAAAUGAAUAGAUACAUAUUAUAUCUACGAAUAUCCUAAAAAAUACACACAUGUUAUACCAUUAGAGGACCGAAAUUGUAUUGUGACGCAAUAAAAAUGGUAUUAUUACCAGAUACAAAUCUAAUAAAUAUAUUACAAAUAAAAAUCCAAUUAAUUCAAAAUGACGACUUAAAAAGGACGUCUUCUGGUCCUCAAAGUUAAAAGAUAUAGUUUUUAAUUAUGCAAUACAGAAUUCAGGAUAUCUGAAUAUUAUGGAAAAGAAUACAAAUUUAAGAAUUAAGAAGGUUUACACAUUAAAACCUUCUAAUUCACAUAAGCUACAAGUAUCACAAGAUACAGAUUCAAAAUGAACAAAUACAUAUUUACAAAUAUAAGCUACAAAAUACCUAAUCUUAUGCAUUUAACACAAAUCCUAUAAUAAAAAUAAACAGAUUGCAUAAUUAUGUGAAAUAAAUCACAUAAUUACAUAAAAAAAACACAUAAAAACCUAAAAAUAAUUAUAUAAUGCAAUUUCAGUAAUUAGAAGAACUGCUUCUCAUUAUUUGAAGAGACAAUCAUAAAAUACAAAUGGAAAAAGUUAUAGAUACGAGUGUUUGCACCACAAAUUUCAUGCAAUAUCCAAAGUUUAAGUUAAAUUCAUUACUUAGCAAUAACCUUUUUUAAAAGUGUAAAUUUAAUUAUAAUGAGAUAUAAAUCUUUUUGAGCAAGAUACAGAUAAGUUAGGUGGAUGCCGGCGGAGCCCUGCUUGUGAUGAAAGAUGUUGCCAUCCGUGGCUCAUUGCCGCAGUGACCUUGCAAUAGGGAUGUGACGGCUCUCGUACCCCUCCCGACAUACUUGAAACUUAUAAGGAUAAAAUAGUGUGGCAAUUACUGUAGCAAUGAGCAUAUUGUGGAUAGAUUAUGACCAAGUGAGCAUCUGACGUAGUGGUACUUACUACCACUUACCCAUUCUCAUUGCUAUUGUGCCACGAGACAGGAGACGCUUUGUAUGGUGAUUCAAAGUGGUUAGAGGGCUGGCGAUCCUGAUCUGAUGACUGAUGUAAAUGGCCAUGGCUGGGAAAUGUGUGUUCUACUUGUGUAGAAUGAUGUAGCCAUUAAUGACUUACAGGCUGCGCGGCCUGCUUGGAUGAAUGACUGUUGGACAGUUAACAAAAAACAAUUGAGUUAAGAAAGACUGUCUGUUGUUACCAAAUACCUGUUGUCUAAAGUAUGUUUUACAAAGUUGUACAAAUUCAACCUUUAUAAUUAUACAAGUUAUCUAUAACAUGGCAAUACGAAAAUAAAUAGUGUUGAGACAUAAAAAAAAAAAAAUCAGCGAUUAUAUGAAACUUAAAGAUGACGAUAAUAUGGGCACCGUCUGGGUGUAUCGUCAUUAAUUGCAUCAUAAACGGUGUAUAUUAGUUUGUGUCAUUGUUAGAAUGCUGAUCCUUUGGGUUUUUAAAUAAGACUGGGCAUUUCAAUUUCGUCUCUAAUGGUAAAAUUAGGUGUUUUAUUUGUAAAAGAUUAAUUUUCCUUUUUGUCUUAUAUAUUUCCCCCGAAAUGUCUUUAUAAGCAUUAUAGUGGAGGAGCUAAAUCUGAUUCCUUUUAGAUUUGUUGUUUUAGUAUUAUAAUGAAAAAGAAAACGUAAGUAGUCAUUAUCUCUAAACGGCUUCCUGUGGCAUCUGAUGGGGCAAAAGAAAACAAAAAUAAAGUGAGAUGGCCCUGGAGGAGAAAAGUUUACAGAUUGUAGUGAAGAAACGGAGGCAACCUUUCUAGCGUUGGCUGAUGACUGAAUGUGAAACAAUUAUAGCAGAGAUUUGGGUCGAGCGUUUGAGAUGCGAUCCUAUUAGAGCUUUCAGGAGAAACAUGUCAUUUUAUUGACAGUGACAGUGACACUGGAUGUCAUCUUUAAUUGACACUAUGCCAUAGGAGAGCAGGGACUGGGAGAGGGAGAGAGAGAUAGACAAAGAGAGAUAGUGGGAAUCAGAGAUUCAGUCCUACUUCCCCCAGGGCCAUCUUAAUUGGUAAAGUUAGGAAUAUAAGCUAUGAAAUAUUAAAUGUAUAAAAGUAGAAUAUAUUCAUGCUGGAAGCACUCUUGCUCAACAGAAUUUUUUCACAGUAGUGCACCUAAUGGGCACAGUUGGUAAAUAACUGUUUUUCCUAUACUGUUGUAGUGAAAAAAUAAAUCUUUCCACAUUAAAUAAUCAUAAGCGCAUGGGUACCCUCAUCGUAGUUAUUAAAUGCUGACCCGUAUCAGGUUGGAGCUGUCUUCUCAUGUCAUAUGAGGUGUGUUUGGAUGGUUGGCGCCUCCAAAUGGCAAUAAGGUGGUAAUUGUUGGAACAUACUGUUUGUCAAGCUUUCUCAAAAAAGUACUGACCACAUUUUGACUUUGACAUUUUGAAGUUAUUCAAAUAUUCCUUGACCUAUUUUAAGAUUAGACCUUCAAAAUGUCAUUGUUGAUUUUAAUUUACACUAUUUUUAAUUGUUUGUGAGGAAUGAGGAAGUCAUUGGGAUGGACUGGGUAAAGAGGCUUUGGAUGAGCAAUAUAUUUGACUUUAAUAUUUCUUUUCAAUGCAAGAAAUGCAAAAACAGUCAAUAAGUCAGUAGAAUGCACUAUAUUGUAGGGCAUUAGGGGUCAUUUACCCUGUGAUACUGGGAUCAGGAUUGAUCAAGAAAGUAAGCAAUGGCUUUACUAUCAUCCACUACCACUUCUGAAUCAUGCUCGUGCAUUGUUGGUGAUAGGGGAGGCAGAAAGGUCAAGCGCAGUUAAGGAUGGUAGAGGCCGUACCAAGUGAUGAAUCAUUUGUCUAUUUAAUUAUAAUAAGUCUAUUUCCCUCUAUAGUUCAUUUAAAAAAGAGGAUAUGGAGAAAGACUGAAAAUAUAGGUGAAAAUAAAGAGGUUAGAUUACUUUAAAUUCUCAAUUAAGCAGUGUAGAAUAUUUAAAACAUUAUUCUGUAAUAGAAUUAGCAUUGGAACGGUAUUGUUCUGUGGGCUACAAACAUCUGCAUUAUUAUAGAAAUUAUGAAACUCAAGCAAUCAACAACUUAGAAAGGCUAUAAAAUCAAACAUUUUUAUUUUACACAGCAGUGUCAGCAUAAAUACUACUAGUACAUAAGUACCGUAAAAACAAUUGGACGGCCCAGCAAAACAAGUCAGAGAUUUUGAGGAGCAAAACUAACAUGGCCUAAUAGCGUUGACCCAAUACAUUUCAUUUCUAAAAUAGCAUUUCAACAACUCAACCUCACUUGAAACUCAAAAACAGCUGAGAACUAAAUUGUAACUCAUAAGUAUUGUUAUAGGGGAAAUAAUGUAUAUAUCCGGAGCCGGCUACAAUCUUCACUCCCCGCCUGGAGGCAAGCAAAUCCUCUCUGCAGAGCGGAUGACAUGCUGCAGCCUGCCCUUGUCCUUGGCUGUGGCUGCAGCAUACCAGACGGUGAUGGAGGAGCGGAUGGACUCAAUGAUGGCCAUGUAGAUGUCCACCAUUGCUGUCUUUGGUUUAUUCAGCUGCCUCAGGAAGUACAUCCUCUGCUGUGCCUGCAGAGGACUGGAGGUGCAGCUGUUAGUAUACAGAGAGAAGAGCAGAGGGGAAAGAACAAACCCAGGUAGCCAGCGGACUCUGCAACCAGCACUGAAACAGGCUCUGGUCCAUUGAUGGUUGCAGAAUCUGAGCCCAAUCUGGCUUCAUAGAAACGGUCCUAUUCAGGUCAAGACGUGGCCACCAGGUUUAUUGCCAACCAGCACUAAAACAGGUUCUGGCCCGUUGAUGGCUGCCACACCUGGACCGAAUCUGACAUUAUAGCAACGGGCCUAAACUGGUUGAGACAUGGCAGCCGGGUUUAUCGGCCACCAGUACUGAAACUGGCUCUGGCCCAUUGACGGCUACCAAACCUGUCGAGUUUGUCGAAAGCGACACAAGCCUCCUGCAGCCCGCAAGAGUGCGAUUGGUCUGCUAACUACAUCCUUUACGGAGUCUCAGAUUUCUGCUUUCAUAGCACAAUACCGCCAUUAUUAAAACAAAGAAUAUUUGCAAGAGAAUGUGUCAGAUUGAAGAGCUUUUGUCGGAAGAAAUAUGACCACUUAUACAAUCCGUCAUUGGCGGACUAUAAGGACGUGCAGAUGGCCUCUGAUUCAUGGAGGGAGAUCUCCGCAAACGUCGCUUUGCCGGUCAAGGGGUGUACAAAGUUGUUGAGGAAAAUACGGGACAAAUGGUCUGCGAUGAAAAGCAACGGAGGCGAUGCACGGGGCAAUAAAGUCUAUGAUAAAUAAAUAAACAAACCAACGACUUCCACACUCUCUAGGUUGUCUUCGACAAAAAAACUUUCUCCACCUGUUGUUCUGGCGGUGAAUUGCUCUGCAACACACGCAAGCCUUUUUGAACCAUGAAUUGAAAUGAGUGCGUCGACACGACUGUGCGUAAAAAGACGCAGACGCAGAAGUAUCCGCCAGCCUUAAGUCUAGUGAUCCUUGUUUUUUUGGGGACGGCUUCAGCCGGCCCUGUAGCAUAUUGAGGAAGUGCUUGGCUGAGGACAGUGGGCCUUCACCCUGUGCUGAGAGAGUUGGUGUAGAGAGAGAAGAGGAGGGGACCCAGGACGAAACCCUGAAGAACUCCAAUAGUAAGAGGACAAGAUUCCGACACAGCCAGAUGACAGAGAAGAGUUAAUGAGACAGGUGAGGAAAGGAAGACGGUCGGGAGCGAUAGAUUGUAGGAUAUGUGAUGGAAUGUGUGUGAAAGUUGAGGGAAGAGCUGAUAGAACAAAGGAGGCCAGAGAGGAGGAAGAGAGGAAGUGGAUAUUGCGAUGAACCGUUUAGUUGAGUUAGUUGAUGGGGUGAGGUCAUUAGUUAGAGAGAGCAGAAGAGAGUAGGAGACUAAGAAGUGAUUAGAAACAUGAAGUAGAGUUACAGUGAGGUUAGAGGUUACAAAGAGCCUGAGAACACCCAUGGGCUUGGACAAUUCUCAUCCAGACUACUUGUAGCAGUCCUGAAAAUAUCCCAGUCUGUACAGUCCAGACAUGCCUGGAGGUCUGUCACGGUGUGGUUUUAUUUCCUGUCUUAUUUUGUAGUUUUCUGCUGCUUGUCUCCCUGGGUAACUUCACUUCCUGCCUUGUCCUGUCAUCCUCUGUGAUUGUCUGAUUGUUUCCACCUGUGUCCAAUCACCUGCACCUCCCUAGUGUAUUUAAGCGGUGUGUGUCUCCUGUCACUUGUCGCGUCAUUGUCUAUCGUCCUGGUUGUUCUCGGGUUCCUGUGUGCCUUUUUGCCACCAGUUCCUGUGUGUGUUUUUGCCCGUUGGCCUUUUGCUUUUUUGAAUUUUGACUAUUAAAGUCUUCUUUUGUUACUCCACGUCUGCGUUUGAGUCCUGCCUUCCACCCACCCUGUCACUAAAAUACUACUUCUUCUAGUGGUGACUGUAACUGACACUACUAGGAAAAAGUACUACUAGUAUUCCUACUGCUAUUAAUACUACAAGUUCCUGCCUGCCUUUUUCCCCUGGUACUUGGAUGCGUUUUUGCCCCUUGGCCUUUUGUUUGUUUUUUGACUAUUAAAGUCUUCUUUUGUUACUUGACGUCUGCGUUUGAGUCCUGCCUCCCCACGCAUCCCUGACAGAAUGACGCGACCACGAAGGGACUCAGCGGACCUGCUGCCAGAUUAUGGGCCCGACUAUAUGGAUGUGAGGAGCCCGUUCUGGCAGCGUAAGGCUAACUUUAUCUUCGGUCCCAGGGGCUCUCAGCUCGCCUGCCUCGAGCUCUGGGAUCUUCUAAAUCCCAGGAGGAGCCCUGGCAAGAGGAAGCACCGACCUCCCGUUCCCGCUGGGCCGCUGCAGCGCUAUCCCGUUCCCGCUGGGCCGCCGCAGCGCUCUCCCGUUGCCGUUCCCCGACUCGGCCAGUACCGGCCCCGAGACUCUCAGCCCCGACCCCGACUCGGCCAGUACCGGCUCCGAGACUCAUGACCCCGACGCCCCCAGUCCCCGCUCCGAGACUCAAGCUCCCUCCCUCCCAUCCCGUGGUAACUUCACUUCCUGCCUUGUCCUGUCAUCGUCAGUGAUUGUCUGAUUGUUUCCAUCUGUGUCCAAUCACCUGCACCUCCUUAGUGUAUUUAAGCGCUGUGUGUCUCCUGUCACUUGUCGCGUCAUUGUCUAUCGUUCUGGAUGUUCCGAGUUCCUGCCUGCCUUUUUCCCCUGGUACUUGUAUGCGUUUUUGCCCCUUGGCCUUUUGUUUGUUGCCUUUUGACUAUUAAAGUCUUCUUUUGUUACUUGAUGUCUGCGUUUGAGUCCUGCCUCCCCACGCAUCCCUGACAAGGUCCUCCUCAGCCCUACUGGCCCACUGCUUUGAUUUCCUGACAAUCUUACAGUUCUAAUUUCUGCCUGUAUGCAGGAAUCAGAUGGAUUAAAGAGUGUCCCAGUGCAGCACGAAGGACGGUGUUAUAAGCCCUGCAUAUUUAGAUCAUGCUGACAGAUACAUGCAUAGUUCAGUAAAGCAUUUAUAAAUGUUAACAGGACAAAGGCACAUAUAUGAACAAGUGCACAGUAAAUAAAGACACACCGACAGACACACACAUUGAGCAUUUUUAUAUUUAUAGCAUCUCUGUGUGACUGCAGCUUUACAAAUUGGGUCAGACUGAUAUAUCAAGACAAUACAGUACAGCUAUUCAGAAUGUCUGCAGUGAUGGAUGUGAUGCAGUUUGAUUGAUUCCAUGCUUAUUGUAAAUUGAAUCAAUACGGCUCUAUUUGCCUGUGGGACACACUGUCAGUGUCCCCUGAUGGUCCAAGCGCUUUUGGAGAAGCUUUUCUACUCUGACAAGAAUAAUAUGGUUAAAUGGUCGUGUACCAAAACAUUAUUCACUGGAGGUUCCCAUUAAAUUGUGAACUGGCCAAAGGCUAUAUUUACUAUAAAAAUUACCUCUAAAAUAUCUAACAAAUUAACCUGCUAUCAAAACAACUAAAAUGAUACAUGCAUUCAAACUUUUUUUUUUUAGAGAAAAUAUUACUAAAAUAUUGG